CGCUCCUGCCGCGCUGCCUCCCCCGCCCGCAGCCGCGCCGGGCGCGGGGCAUGGCCAGACUCACCGAGGGCGAGGCGAGGAGACAGCCGCCGCCGCUUCUGCCAGCGCCGCAACCGCCGCGCCGAGCUUCCCCCAUGAACAGCAGCGGCGGCGCGGAGCCCCCCGCGCAGCCCGACAGCAUGAAAGACCUGGAUGCCAUCAAGCUCUUCGUGGGGCAGAUCCCGCGCAACCUGGAGGAGAAGGACCUCAAGCCGCUCUUCGAGCAGUUCGGCAAGAUCUACGAGCUCACCGUGCUCAAAGACCGCUACACCGGCAUGCACAAAGGUUGUGCAUUCCUCACAUACUGUGCCAGAGACUCUGCCAUCAAAGCCCAGACAGCACUGCAUGAACAGAAGACUUUGCCAGGGAUGGCGCGCCCAAUUCAAGUGAAACCUGCAGACAGCGAGAGCCGUGGAGGUAGGGACAGGAAGCUCUUUGUGGGCAUGUUAAAUAAGCAGCAGUCUGAGGAUGACGUGCUCCGGCUCUUUGAACCAUUUGGGGUCAUUGAUGAAUGUACGGUGCUCCGUGGACCUGAUGGUAACAGCAAAGGCUGUGCUUUUGUAAAGUUCUCAUCUCACACAGAGGCUCAGGCAGCAAUCCACGCACUCCAUGGCAGCCAGACAAUGCCCGGUGCCUCCUCCAGUCUAGUGGUGAAGUUUGCUGACACAGAUAAGGAAAGGACCCUCCGUCGUAUGCAGCAAAUGGUGGGGCAGCUGGGGAUAUUCACUCCAUCUCUCACCUUGCCGUUCAGCCCAUACAGCGCCUAUGCGCAGGCUCUGAUGCAGCAGCAGACGACGGUUCUCUCCACCUCCCAUGGCAGCUACCUGAACCCAGGCGUCGCCUUCUCCCCAUGCCACAUCCAGCAGAUCGGUGCCGUCAGUCUCAACGGGCUGCCAGCUGCUCCCAUUGCACCAACAUCAGGGCUACAUUCACCAUCUCUCCUGGGAACAGCAGCCAUGCCAGGACUGGUAACACCAAUUUCAAAUGGAUUUACUGGAGUGGUACCAUUCCCAAAUGGGCAUCCAGCCUUGGAAACAGUUUACACCAAUGGCCUUGUGCCAUAUUCAGCCCAGAGUCCUUCAGUAGCAGAGACUUUGAACCCAACCUUCACAGGAGUUCAGCAGUAUCUGUGUAUCCGACCACCACCAUCACCCCCAUUGCACAGAGCAUCCCUCAGCAGCCUCCCAUCCUGCAGCAGCAGCAACGAGAAGGUGAGGUUCAGAAUGGGACUAUUUGUGUCCCAAGAGAGGGGUGGGAUUUGUGUAGCUCAUCUUCUGUACCACAGAACCAAUGGAGAGGAGACAGCACUAAUUUUUAUCAGCCAAUCUUUGAUACUGGAACUAGGCUAUGGAAACAACCACAUCUCUGCCUUGAGUGGACUAGAAGAGUUCACAGGAUGAUUGUUAUGCAGACUUCCUGAGCUUGUCCCUGGCCAGAUGUUGCCAGGUACAAAGGGGGCAAUAGGCACCAGAACACCACGCCUUCACAUCAAAGAGGGUAGUCAGCACCUUCCCUACACAGUCACAGGAAAAGAACACUGCCUCUCCACUGAUGCCAGAACCACAGUGGUACCAGUCAAAUCAGCCUCUCCCAAUGUACUCUUCUCUCUUUUCAGCCUUCAUAGCCUCCUGAGUUUAUUUUUCAACUUAUUUCAAAAUUGACCUAAAUAGAAAUUGGAGGCAAAGGCAUUCUCUCUCUGCUCCUGAUUCUUACAGCGGGUGUCAGGAAGGGAGCAGCUUCUUGUGUUCAUCAGGCUCACAAGGAGCAAGUGAAGGAGUGGACAGGACCAGGUCAGCCCAUAAAUGGGAUGUACGGCAGUCCAGGGUUAAGGCUGUAGCUUACGGACUGAAGGCAACCACUGCCUAACUGUGGGCAGGGAAUGCCAGAGGAGCAACUUUCACAUAGCAGUGUCUGCUGCUGUCCUAGGACUGGGAGAGCUAUGAACAAGGAACUCUUGCCUCAGCUGAGUUCCUUCCAUCAAAACAACACCCGGACACUUACAGAGUUGUUGUGUCCAGCACACUAUUUGGGAACUAGAUAAGCUUUGAAAGAGAAGCUGCUCUCCAGAAACUUCAGCUUUGUAUAUUACCUCCCAGUUGCUCUUAGACAGCCCUCAGAAUCCUUUGGGGAAAAGAGGAAGUGCUAGGGUUCUCCUCCAGUGCUGUGCUGUGAGUUGAGCCCAUUUUUUUCCCAUUCCCUUUGGGGUUUUCUGUUUUGUCCUUCCCCGCUGCCCCCAUAUCUGCAGGUCCUGAAGGCUGCAAUCUCUUCAUCUACCAUCUCCCUCAGGAGUUUGGAG
Empidonax traillii (willow flycatcher) is the source of this 2335-nucleotide RNA transcript. It is a transcript of the gene named CUGBP Elav-like family member 5, with no coding region annotated. The transcript has 11 exons. The record is from RefSeq and is a predicted model, not a curated record. Lineage: Eukaryota; Metazoa; Chordata; Aves; Passeriformes; Tyrannidae.